Molecule: ribosomal RNA, 199 nt
Filed under: uncultured Thauera sp.
Lineage: Bacteria; Pseudomonadati; Pseudomonadota; Betaproteobacteria; Rhodocyclales; Zoogloeaceae
Description: partial 16S ribosomal RNA
Rfam family: Bacterial small subunit ribosomal RNA
Source: RNAcentral
CAAGUCCUCAUGGCCCUUAUGGGUACGGGCGUUCACACGUCAUACAAUGGUCGGUACAGAGGGUUGCCAAGCCGCGAGGUGGAGCCAAUCCCUUAAAGCCGAUCGUAGUCCGGAUCGUAGUCUGCAACUCGACUACGUGAAGUCGGAAUCGCUAGUAAUCGCAGAUCAGCAUGCUGCGGUGAAUACGUUCCCGGGUCUU